UACAUAUUCACCCCUCCAAGACUACAAAAAACUGCACUCGGACAAAACGUCCCAUUCAAAUUCACUAUUACAUUACAACAGGACAGAGAUUUUCCCACUAGUUCUACCAAUCAAUAACUGACUAUUGAAACUCUAUCAUGACAGACUAAUAAAAUAAUAGGAAGAUAGUGAACCAUUUGAAUAAAAAAUUCCACAUUACACAUUCGAAUGACUUGCAAAUGAGGUAGCAUUGUAAAUCAUCGGAAAUAUAAACAAGAGAUGAGGUAACGGAUGAUUCACAGGGUUAACAAUCUCAUUUUUUAAGAACCAACUAGGAUGUAUGCCGCACGCCUGUCAACCCAAGUGAACAUCAUAUUUGCAAAACCUAAUUUUGAAAAACAAAUUUACCCGUUCAAAAACGCUAUUAAGUUAUCCAAGUUGUUGUUGUUACCAAAUGUAGAAACAUUUUUCUUGCAAAAGAGUUGAUUAUUAUACCCAGCUAGAAUGUCGCCCCUGUAAUCUUGCACUGUACUAAUCAUUAAAGAGCAUUUAUUUUUAAUAAGUAACUCAUUAGCCCAUAUCGCUAGCUUGGAAUUAAUAGCUAUAUCUCAUUUUUGACAAUUAGAUCAAUACUGUCAUCGUAGUCUAAGAUGAGCAUUACAAAAUUUUAAGGACUGCUAUGUGAAAGACUUACUCAUGGAACGGCAAUAUGCUAUAUGCUAAGUUAAACGUAAAUGUUAGUGGAGGGAAUUCGUUCUUGUACCUUU
RNAcentral lists this long non-coding RNA (746 nucleotides) under Nicotiana benthamiana. RNAcentral's name for it is "long non-coding RNA (NBEN_LNC012055)". The record is from RNAcentral. Lineage: Eukaryota; Viridiplantae; Streptophyta; Magnoliopsida; Solanales; Solanaceae.